CAUCAAAGAAUUGGGUGACCACGUGACC
This 28-nucleotide non-coding RNA is filed under the name Homo sapiens (human). Lineage: Eukaryota; Metazoa; Chordata; Mammalia; Primates; Hominidae. The record is from RNAcentral.